RNAcentral lists this ribosomal RNA (1453 nucleotides) under uncultured bacterium. Its description in RNAcentral is "bacterial SSU rRNA". It matches the Rfam family "Bacterial small subunit ribosomal RNA". The record is from RNAcentral.
GAGUUUGAUCCUGGCUCAGGAUGAACGCUGGCGGUCUGCUUAACACAUGCAAGUCGAACGGGCGCUGAAAUGCGUUAGUGGCGGACGGGUGAGUAACACGUGAGAAUCUGCCAACAGGACGGGGACAACAGGGGGAAACCGCUGCUAAGACCCGAUAAACCGAAAGGGGAAAAAGAAAUUGCCAGUUGAUGAUCUCGCGUCGGAUUAGCUAGUUGGUAGUGUAAGAGACUACCAAGGCGACGAUCCGUAGCCGGUCUGAGAGGACGAUCGGCCACACUGGGACUGAGACACGGCCCAGACUCCUACGGGAGGCAGCAGUGGGGAAUUUUCAGCAAUGGGCGAGAGCCUGACGGAGCAAGACCGCGUGAGGGAGGAAGGCUCUUGGGUUGUAAACCUCUUUUCUCAAGGAAGAAGAAAUGACGGUACUUGAGGAAUCAGCAUCGGCUAACUCCGUGCCAGCAGCCGCGGUAAUACGGAGGAUGCAAGCGUUAUCCGGAAUGAUUGGGCGUAAAGCGUCCGCAGGUGGCAGUUCAAGUCUGCCGUUAAAGACUCCAGCUUAACUGGAGGAAGGCGGUGGAAACUGAACAGCUAGAGUGCGGUAGGGGCAGAGGGAAUUCCCGGUGUAGCGGUGAAAUGCGUAGAGAUCGGGAAGAACACCAGUGGCGAAAGCGCUCUGCUGGACCGCAACUGACACUCAGGGACGAAAGCUAGGGGAGCGAAUGGGAUUAGAUACCCCAGUAGUCCUAGCCGUAAACGAUGGAUACUAGGUGUUGUGCGUAUCGACCCGCGCAGUGCCGCAGCUAACGCGCUAAGUAUCCCGCCUGGGGAGUACGCACGCAAGUGUGAAACUCAAAGGAAUUGACGGGGGCCCGCACAAGCGGUGGAGUAUGUGGUUUAAUUCGAUGCAACGCGAAGAACCUUACCAGGACUUGACAUGUCCGGAAUCUCGGUGAAAGCUGAGAGUGCCUUCGGGAACCGGAACACAGGUGGUGCAUGGCUGUCGUCAGCUCGUGUCGUGAGAUGUUGGGUUAAGUCCCGCAACGAGCGCAACCCUCGUUUCUAGUUGCCAGCAUUAAGUUGGGCACUCUGGAGAGACUGCCGGUGACAAACCGGAGGAAGGUGGGGAUGACGUCAAGUCAGCAUGCCCCUUACGUCCUGGGCUACACACGUACUACAAUGCUUCAGACAAAGGGCAGCUAGCCAGCGAUGGUCAGCAAAUCCCAGAAACUGAGGCUCAGUUCAGAUCGCAGGCUGCAACUCGCCUGCGUGAAGGCGGAAUCGCUAGUAAUCGCCGGUCAGCAUACGGCGGUGAAUACGUUCCCGGGCCUUGUACACACCGCCCGUCACACCAUGGGAGCUGGCGGUGCCCGAAGUCGUUAUCCUAACCCCUCGGGGAGGGAGACGCCGAAGGCAAAGCUGGUGACUGGGGUGAAGUCGUAACAAGGUAACCGUA